GCCCAUAUAGCUCAGUCGGUAGAGCGCUUCCUUGGUAAGGACGAGGUCACCGGUUCAAAUCCGGUUAUGGGCUCCA
Molecule: transfer RNA, 76 nt
Filed under: Candidatus Kentrum eta
Lineage: Bacteria; Pseudomonadati; Pseudomonadota; Gammaproteobacteria
Description: Candidatus Kentron sp. H tRNA_Thr_GGT
Rfam family: tRNA
About the family: Transfer RNA (tRNA) molecules are approximately 80 nucleotides in length. Their secondary structure includes four short double-helical elements and three loops (D, anti-codon, and T loops).
Source: RNAcentral